GUGAUCCCUGAAGACCAGCGUGGGACGGAAACGAAUAGAUUUGUCACCGCAGCCCCCCAACACCACACCUGAAAGAAGAGGCAGGAGGACUUAAAAUUGCAAUGGAUUGUUUGUGAAAUGCCAUGUGUAAAGCCACGCCUUCCUGCUAGACUGCAUGCUUCCUGAAGGGAGGGGCUCUGAUGGUCUUCAUCAUCACUGUAACUGUCUCUAGUGUCCACUUACAACUAACCACCUCAGCGAACACUUGUUGAGUAAAUAAAUGGAUAAAGAAAUCCCAUUCA
Macaca mulatta (Rhesus monkey) is the source of this 281-nucleotide non-coding RNA. Lineage: Eukaryota; Metazoa; Chordata; Mammalia; Primates; Cercopithecidae. The record is from RefSeq and is a predicted model, not a curated record.